GAUAAACGCUGGCGGCGUGCUUGACACAUGCAAGUCGAACGGGCACUCCCGGUUGCUUGAGUGCGAUCGGCUGACGGCUGAGUAACUCAUACGUGACCUGUCCCCCCUUGACUAAUAACUGCCCUAAAGGGUGUCUAAUACCUCCUGUGUUCGAGCUCCCGUUCCUAUGCGCAGAGCGGCAAAGGCGCUUCGGGAGGGGCCUGCCUCCCAUUAUCUCGUUGGUGGGGUAACGGCUCACCCUUGCCACGAUCUUGUAGGUGGUCUCAGACGACGAUCACCCCCACUGGCACUGAGACUCAGACCAGACUCCUACUCCAGGCAGCAGUCGGGAAUUUUGCUCUUUGGGCGAGAGCCUGAACCAGCUGCGCCGCCUGAGGGAUGAAGGCCUUCGGCUUGUAAACCUCUUUUUCCUUCGACUAUGAUGACGCUACCUGGACAAUAAUCCACGGCUAACUACCUGCCAACUACCUCCCUAAUACCUAGGUGACACGCGUUGUCCGGAUUUACUGCGCGAUAAAGAGCGCGCAGGCGGCCCAGUCACUCGAAUGUGAAAGCCCCCGGCUUAACUGGGGAGGGUCAUUCGAUACUGCUCGGCUCGAAGACAGGAGAGGGAAGCGGAAUUCCCGGUGUAAUGGUGAAAUGCGUAGAUAUCGGGAGGAACACCAGUGGCGAAGGCGGCUUUCUGGCCUGUUCUUGACGCUGAAGCGCGAAAGCUAGGGGAGCAAACGGGAUUAGAUACCCCGGUAGUCCUAGCCGUAAACGAUGGAUACUAGGUGUUGGUGGUAUCAACCCCGCCAGUGCCGUAGCUAACGCAUUAAGUAUCCCGCCUGGGGAGUACGGCCGCAAGGCUAAAACUCAAAGGAAUUGACGGGGGCCCGCACAAGCAGCGGAGCGUGGGGUUUAAUUCGAUGCGACGCGAAAAACCUUACCAGGGUUUGACAUGGCUAUGAAGUCGGCGGAAACGUCGGCGCCCCGCAAGGGGCAUAGUCACAGGUGUUGCAUGGCUGUCGUCAGCUCGUGUCGUGAGAUGUUGGGUUAAGUCCCGCAACGAGCACAACCCCUACUGUGUGUUGUAUCACUCACACGGGACUGCCGAGAGAAACUCGGAGGAAGGUGGGGAUGACGUCAAGUCAGCAUGCCCCUUACAUCCUGGGCUACACCCACGCUACAAUGGCCGGUACAACGGGCUGCGAAACCGCGAGGUGGAGCUAAUCCCUUAAAGCCGGUCUCAGUUCGGAUCGUAGGCUGCAACUCGCCUACGUGAAGCCGGAGUUGCUAGUAACCGCAGAUCAGCAUUACUGCGGUGAAUAUGUUCCCGGGCCU
RNAcentral lists this ribosomal RNA (1323 nucleotides) under uncultured bacterium. RNAcentral describes it as "bacterial SSU rRNA". It matches the Rfam family "Bacterial small subunit ribosomal RNA", at positions 28 to 1381 of the family's 1533-position model. The record is from RNAcentral.